GGUUUCGAUCCAGGGACAUCAGGGUUAUGAGCCUGCGCGCYUCCACUGCGCCA
RNAcentral lists this transfer RNA (53 nucleotides) under Yarrowia lipolytica. Its description in RNAcentral is "partial transfer RNA". Lineage: Eukaryota; Fungi; Ascomycota; Dipodascomycetes; Dipodascales. The record is from RNAcentral.